CAACGCGACCCCAGGUCAGGCGGGGCUACCCGCUGAGUU
RNAcentral lists this ribosomal RNA (39 nucleotides) under Ficus tsiangii. RNAcentral describes it as "partial 28S ribosomal RNA". The record is from RNAcentral. RNAcentral also lists the same sequence under 3 other names. Lineage: Eukaryota; Viridiplantae; Streptophyta; Magnoliopsida; Rosales; Moraceae.